UGGAGGCAGGGCGCCGGCCCCUCCUCAGGAGGCUGGAUAAUCACUGUCGCUGUCAUUUACUGAACUGAUGAGAUCCCACACUCAGCCGGCUUCUGGAUGAACCCUCACCACGGCCCUGCGGGGCGAGAGCCCUCAUUCCCGUGUCUCGGGCUGGAGAGGUGGCCAGUCACUUACCCAGAGCUAAACCUGGCCCAGCUGGCCCGGGGCCUGGGCCUGACUCCAGACCUUCUGACCAUCGCUGUUCUCAGUGGGCACGGGUCCACCUGCUUCCCGCGAACCACACAAAGUUCCCCUGAAAGGAACGGCCGCCCGAAACUUAAAGCACCGCGUUCUGAUCCGGACACAAGGCGGGCGGACGUUUGCAGCAACAGGUCUUUCCUGAGCACCUGCUGGGUUCUAGACACUCGGUACAAAAACCUAAAAGACCUCUGCCAUCAAGGAGCCUUCAGUGCAGGGCGGGGGGGGGGGGGGGGGGGAAUAAAUAUGUAAAUAAAUAAUUAUAGCUUAGGGAUGGAUGCUAUGAAAGGCAAGGGAACCCGGAGGAGGCUGGAGGCAUCUGGAAGGCCUCCCAGAGGGGGUGACUUUUAAAUGGACCUUGAGGAGCGGCUUCAAGCUCCCCAGACAGACAACAGGGAAGGAAGGGUGCUCAGGGAGAAGCAGCAUUUGCAAAGCCACGGGGGUGGGACAGCAGGGUGCAGCUCAAGGACAGCAAGGCGGCCAGCAAGGGAGCAGGGAGGGGCGUGAGGGCAAGGAGCCUGGGAGGCGAGCAGAGGAAGGACCGGGAAGGGCCUUGUACUCCAGGCCCGGGGUGUACGCCUUACCUUGGAGGAACUGGGGGGCUGCGGCUUGCGGAGCAGAGGACGUGGCUUGAGCACGUCCCUGGGGAGGAUCCCUGACGACGGCUGGGGUCACGCAGCCCGGGGCAGGGGCACCUGUCAAGACGCAGCUGUCUAGAAGAUGGUGAGAAGCGGAGUCCAGGAAAGCCGAAGGCUGUGCGUGGGAGGGACAGGUCAAAGCGGUGACAGCGAGACACUCACCUGGGCAGGAAAGGUGAGGAGUCUGGUGUGAGGUUGGGCGAAAACCUCUGCUUGUGCAGGUGAGUGGUCUGGGUAGAGAUGCAGGAAAGAGGCACCUGCGGCCUAAGAGAAAGGCUGCAGCAGGAUGCAGAGGUACGGGGGUAGAGGUGGGGCUGCGGCUGCCCAGGGCUGUGCAGACACUUAGCGGGGAGGGCGCAGGGUGAGGCCCCAGGAGCUCCCACACUCAUGAGAAAACGAAGAGAAAGUGAGGAGAGGAAGUGGCUGGGUUCCCGCUCCCUCGAGGCCAGAGAGGGAAGGCGCGCCAUCUGGGUGGCCAGAGACAAAGGUCACUCACAGUCCGUCAGCAGACACCAGCCGGGGCUCCCGGAGUGGGACCAACCCAGAACUGACUUUCCGAGAAGACCUUCUGACCAGAAAGCUCUGUCCUACCCAGAGGCCCAACGUGCUGUGUGAAAACAGGGGUCCAGGGAAAGGGGACGGAGGAGGUGGAGGAAGAAAAACCUCGUGCAUCCUCAGGCAAGAUAAGGGAAGCAUCUUGGGCUUCUGGAAGAUCUUACCUUUCAGCCUUCUUCUUGUUUAUUCUUCGUGUGGGAACAGGGACAUGGGGGCUGCAGGGCCGGGCUUGUCUGGGCCUCAGAGUGUCACAGCGAAGAUGAGAGGCCCAUCGAGAAAUCAGACAAGGACCAAACUGGCCCCUUCGUUGUCGCCGCCCCAGCCUCCACGGCAGAGGGAGGCCAGGCCUCCUACCUCCACCUCUCCGGCCUCAGGAAAGGGCCGAGGAAGGACUGCAGGAGAUGCACGGGGUCUGAGCAUCCUGGGGUCCACCCUCGGAAUGUGCUUCCCGAAUCCUGGAGGGCUGCCCCCCAGCCCACCCCGCAGCAAGUCAGCGCCUUCACACCUGCGGCUCCCGGCACUUAGCUGCUGUCCUUGAAACCCAGCACCUGCCUCGUGGUGGUUCGGGCAAACAGAGUCAUCACCAGCCAUUUAGUGAGCGCUCACCAGUGCCAGGCCACCGUAAACGCUUGGUAGAAUCAUCAUACUUCAUCUUUACAUUCUUACCCCAGCUCAGAGAGGGAAAGUAACUUUCCCAAGGACACACAGCUGGGAUCCAAAUUGCAGAUGUGGAAACUGCAACCAGGGAAAUCGAGCGCCAGGGCCAGGCACACACCAGCACAGCGCCGACCCCAGCCCGUCAGCCCUCUGCUGCUUCCCGACUGCACCUCGGGGCGGGAGUUCUGUAAACCCUGGCCGCUGCGAGGGCACCCCGCCUGCCAGUCCUGGGCUCCCUUGGCUCUUUGGGGCAGUGGGGAUGUCAGAGGCCACUAGGUGGAACCAAAUGUUCAGAGAUGGAAGUUCAGGGCUGCCUGCGCUCUGAGCCCUGCCCACAGACCCUGCGGCUGUCGGAGUCUCCACCGGGUGGGUUCCCCGGGCCGACCUCGGGGGCUGUGGAGAUGCACCUGCCAUUCCACCCCACCCUCCUGGGGUGCCCAACUCGGCCCCCUCGCAGGUCGGCCUCCCCAGCCGAAACUCCUGUCCUGGACCAAGCUGGUCCCCUACUCAGAGGCAGGCCACGUGGAAGGCGGAGAUUUCCCAGCCCUUAGGACGGGCUCUCCUCCAUCCCCGGAAUUCCCCAUCCUGCCCCCUGGGAAUUCCCCAGUGAGCUGGCCAGGGAAGGUCCUGGGGCGGGAGGCGGUGGGAGCAGGACUGGGGCUGUCCCCUGGCGUGGAGCGCGUUGAGGGCCUUGGGGCUGCCAGGGCGGUGCCGCCUGAGAAGACAGUUCAGAGUUGACGUUUUCUUGAACAAGUUCCACUAGCCAGCAUUGUCCAGCGAACGGAACCACACAGUCCAGGUAUGACUUCUUCAACGGUUCUGCCACUUACGAGCUGUGUGACUUUGGGCAAGUACUGAACCUCUCUGGGCCUCGGCUGUAACGAGGGGACAGUAACAGACUAAAUGGGCUCGUCUAUGUCCAUCACUAGAACAGUGUCUGGUACACAGGAAGCACUAGAUGAGGAUUAGCUGUUGCCAUGGUAACUCGCUUAUUACCACAGCCUCACGAGGCAGGUGCUGUCAUUACCUUCACUUUACAGAUUUGGAAAUUGAAGGACAGAGAGGUAGGAGGCAGCCAAAGAGGUGGGGGCGGGGGGUAAAUUUGAGACAAGUCCUCCCCCACCGCACACCUUCCCCUCCAUCUGGCACCAGACCUGGGUGGGGUGUCCUCGGGACCCCACUGUGGCAGCCCUCUGGGCUCCGGGCUCCUGCGGCCCAGGGGCACUGGGGGACAGGUGAAGGGCCAUGGUUAGGUGUGCUUCUAAAAGUCAGAUGGUCAGGACCCGCUCCCAACUCUAGGACGAGCCAGCCAUCAAAUGCCCGCUGAGCACCUACUGUGCGCCAGGCAUUGUCGUAGACACUCGGGAAACAGUGAACAACAUGCGCAUGACCUCUGCCCCCCGAGAUUCACAUUCAAGGAAGGAGGCGGCCACUGAACAAACUAACCCCCAAAUAGCAUAACUAUAAAUUGUGAGGAAGGACACGGGAAAAGGAGAGGGUGCCGUGACAUCCUGGAAUCUCUCUGCCCUUCAGCCUUCUCUUGGGUAAAAGGUCAGGAGUAUCACCGGGACCUGAGGUCUCACAAGGACGCUGUUGCAGUAGAAUGUGGGCAUUGUGAAGGCAAGGUUUCCACUGUACUGAGCGUGGUCCCUGGAUCGCCCGCCUUGGAGAGCUGGUUGAUACGCCGGCUCAAGCAGACACUCGGGCGGGACCAGCACCCCACGCUUCAGCAAACCCUCCAGAGGAUGUCGAUGCAGUGCCUCAGGAACGCCCGCUGCAUCGAACAGACAGGGUGGAAUGGAGGCUGAGCUUGUAGGAGGGAGCAGACACAGGGAAUGCUGACGUGGGGAGCUCCUGGACCUCAGACCCACCCAACUCUGACGAGCAGGGCCUGUCUCCCCGUCUGCUUCCUCAGCGCCUGGCAUCCAGGAGUUGCUUGGAACGUGUGUGUAAGGAAAAAAGAACACACAGUCAGCAGAGGCACAGAACUACUCACCAAGUCCUCUCUGCUCGGGGAUCCCAACGUCCCCUCAGUGAAGGAAACCCCUGGCCUCCUCGACAGAAGGAAGCCUUACAGCAGCCCAGAUGGUCAGUGGGAAGACUUCGCACCACCCCAAGAUGCUCCUUCCCUGGGACUCUCCCCAGCAUGGUGCUGGCUCUCCCAGACUGUCAUGUUCCAAUCAGGUCUCAUCACCUCCCCUCUGUCUCCCACAGCCCAGCCUAGAAGAGGCUGGGAUGUUCAAACACGGGGAAGGGCUCAGGAUGCCACGGUGAGAUAAGCACAGCCUGUUAUGAGGAGCCGCUAAUCUGGCCUGCAACGUGUCAUCCCGCCCUCCAGACCCCAGGGCACCUCCGCUGAGCUCCGGCCAGCACUCAGCACCCUGAGCUCACCAUAGACGAGGCUCUCUUCCCGUGGUGAAGUCAGGUCCUCUUACCUAAAGAUGGCCCUCCAGGUUAGCAUCUCCCGAUGUUUACCGAUGCCUGCUAUGUUCCAGACUCAAAAGCACCUGCUACUAAUGUACAACCAGCCACCUUUGAAGCCUCCGUUGACAGAGAGGUCACUCCAUCCCAGGCAGCCCCGUCCAGUUUUAGACGGCUCGAAAGUGGAAGUUGCUCCUUUAUUAGAAAUGUGACUCCAGGAAAAUCCACGUGUCCCCUGGAGGAGGCAGAACACACCCAGGAUCCGGGUGGGAGAAGCGGUCAGCAGACAUAAAUUCAACUCCAUAAGGAGGAGAACAGGUGGAGGUGUGUGAGGGUGACCAGACGGGAAUGCUGGGGCCAAGCGGCCGGUCUUGGGGAAUCAAAGAACGUUUCCUAGAGACGAGCCUUAGAAGGGGUUUCUCCCAUGGGCUUCCCUGGUGGCGCAGUGGUUGAGAGUCCGCCUGCCGAUGCAGGGGACGCGGGUUCGUUCCCCCGUCCGGGAAGAUCCCACAUGCCGCGGAGCGGCUGGGCCCGUGAGCCAUGGCCGCUGAGCCUGCGUGUCCGGAGCCUGUGCUCCACAACGGGAGAGGCCGCAACAGUGAGAGGCCCGCAUACCACAAAAAAAAAAAAAAGCAGAAGAAGGGGUUUCUCCUGGAACAGAGUCUGGGUGGAAGAGGGGGGGCUCCUUUGGCAGAAAGGAGGUGGAGCCAAAGUUCCAGCAGGAAGGUGGCUGGUGGGGAGGAAAGGGUGAUUCCAGAAAGAUCCCACCUGCUGGUGGAGCAGAGGGCCACCCAGCGGGAGGAGGGAGCCUGGUCCCCAGCAUUGCAAGGCCAGGAACUGAGGGGCAGGGAAAGGGUGGGGUGAGGCUGGAGGAGCCUGGGAAGCCCAUGCAGGGCAACCCCCCACCCUGUUCCUCCCCGUCUGCCCCCCCCCCCCCAGGUGAUCCCCGGCAGGAGGGCACCUGAGUCCCUGCACAUUCUGUAGCUCUCCCUACAGAAACCUGUACGCGGUUCCCAUCCUCGGGCAGCUAGAGGGCUCUCUGGAGUCCGGAACCUGGUUCCAGAGCCCUGGGGUGGGCAGGGAGGGUCGGAAUGAAAUCUUCUGGGAGAGCCGAGGCCCGGCUGUGACUGUGACAGGGGGGCCUGCAGGAAGCCACUGCAGCUUCUGCUAGGGUGGUGAGGGUCUGGGAGACAGGUGAGCUCCAGACAGCACAGGCCCCUCGCCCCUCGCCCCCAGGUGCUGGCACUGGCGCCCCCUUCCACUCACACAGCCUUAGGCGGCGGGGCUGAGACGAGCAGAUUAUUCAGUGCCAGGUGCCCAGGCCAUGUCCUCUCGGCCUUCUCGCCCUGAUGUCCUGCCACAAGCUGCCAGCCAGGCUCAGCACAAACGAACACGGAGCCGAGUAGAGGAGGAGGGCUCGGCCCCCCCCGGGUGGCACCUGCCCGGCUGGCAUCAGGGCACAGGCUGGGGUGCUGAGGGAGGAUGGCUGGGCUUCUGCUCUGGGGACCUUCUGAGCCCAAGAGCUGCUCUCACUUCCUCCCCCUCUGGGGUCGGAGGGUGGUCCAGACACAGCCUGAGAUGGAGCCACGCAGGGUUCAGGCUGUGUGGCCCGGGGCAAGUCACCUUACCUCUGACCCUCAGCCUUCCUGGCUGUAAACCCUCCCUCAAAGUGUUGUACUGAACGUCAAACUGCAUGGCUAAGGGGCGCUCCCGACACAAAGUGGGCUCCUCAUAAACGCCCACCUCUUCCUUCACACCCUCCUCAUCCCCUGGUCCCACGAAGAGCCACCCUCGGGUGGCCCCGGACCCUUACGUGCACGCGGUCCCCCGGAGCCCCCGUGUUGGGAGGGCCUGGGCCUGCCGUCUGGCCUGCCUGGAAACGGGCUGUGACUCAGAGCGCUGAGGGCCCUGGGGCCACGCGGCCAGGAGCCCAGCAUCUGAGGGCCCCUCCUAGGGUGAAAAGUCACUGCAUGCCCUACUCAGUCAUUGCCCAGGUUGGGGUGAAGAGGGGGGCAGUGCUUCAAAGGAGGGGAGAAAGACGGGGUGGAUUUCCUCCCUGUAUGCAAGGGAGGCUAGGGACAACCUUGGAGCCCUCACCGCGGCCGGGUCUUUCCCACCCGGAAUCGCAGCCCAGCCUCUGCUUGCAGGAACAAGCAGGGCCAAGCCAGCUGCCCCAGACCUGGGGUGAGACGACCUGUGGACGAAGAGAAUGGCUUCCGGCCCAGGCAAGACCCCCGCACUCUGGACGUCCCUGGUUGCGGGGGUCGAAUCUGGCCCCCUCCUGACCCCCCCUGGACUCACUUUUUUCUCUCUCCUGUCCAGACCAGCACAAAGUCUGCGGGUCUGCAGACUGCACUGGGUUGGGUCCUCAAUCUUAGGAGCUGGGAGGAGGUCCUCUGCUGCGCCGACAUGAGCACAGACUCAGGGAGGCAGGUGCCUGCUGACCCGGCCCAGCACAGCCCCUGACAUCCUGACGCUGUGUCACUUCCUACACAGCAGGGCCGUGCUGCCUCCAGCCGAGGCCAUGCUCAGGGCUCAGGACUCACAACAAAAGCACCCCAAAACCCGGGGGCUUGAAAAGGUGAGUGCGGGUUUCCUCAACCUCCAGGGUUACUCUGAAACCGACCUCGACUGUGCCGUCUCCCUGUACGGACAUCCCUCCGCGUGCAGCCACGUGCGUAUGACCAGCAGCAGCGCUUGGUCUCGGCCUGGGCCUCUGACGGCGGAACCGACAGGAGGUCCAUCCUCCUGGCCCUCGGCGUGUCCCAGGAUGCGUUGCCUUUCUCCAGGUCUCCCUCUGGGGGUGUCUGACCGCCACGGCCCAGGACGCCCUCCAGGGUGGGCCCACGAGGCCAAAGUCUGGCCGGGCUCCUGGAACUUGGGCAAGACCACCUGGCCAACAGCACGGGCCCCUGCCUCCCCUGGGGGGAGGACCCUCACUGGCCCCCGACCCUCACCUAUGAAACGUGGCUUUGCUAGGGGAACUCUCAGUCCCUUCCAACCCCAGAAUUCCCAGAGGAACUUCCGUGGACGACGCCGAGGUGACGUUUUGCCUGUUUGCUUUUGUUGGUUGUUUUUUGUUUUUCCAGAGGAUGAGGGAGAAUUCUGGACCCCUUUUGGCCUAACAGCCUAUAGAAAGCUGGCACUGGACACUGCGACCUGCAGGACCUUUUCCCUUUGCCCAUCUGCACCAGGGGGUGGAGGGAAAUGGAGAUGGCGGCAACCCUGGCAGGGGCAGGAGGGAGCGCCCAUCUCACUUGUGCAGGUGCGCGUCUAUGCGUCUGUGGGCCUCUGUGCUCAGGACGGGGCAGCGUGUGUCGCCCUCCAUGGCGGACUCACAGAGCUCACCACAUGCAGCUGUAUAAGGAGAUUUAUAUUUCUCUCCUGAACGGCCGGGGCAGGGGUGUGGUCCAACAGAUGGCUGGCAUGUUCCAGGUGUGUCUGGCUGGAAAAGGCAUCUGGCCCAGCCUCCUGAUUGGCUCUCAGUGAGUCACGGCGGUUGGGUCCCUGGAGCGGCUGUCAUGGAGCCGGGGUCAUGCCCUGCGUUAUCUUUACUGCCUUCUCUGCCGGCGCAGACGGACAAUGUUCCCCGUGUCACAGUGACACUCGCGGGCUGCUGACUCCGGGUCAGUGGGACAUGCCCUCUGGGUAAUCUUCCUGGCGGGGCGUGGGUUCACCUCGACCUCGCUGCGCCUUGACGCUGCAGCCCACCCGGGUCCAACGGCCCCGCAUGGGAGCCAUUUGAGGGGCCAGCUUGCCAGCUGAAUGAAACCUGGCAAAGCCACAAAGGGGUUUCCUCAGUUCCCAAAGACCCACCUGAACGGACCAGCAGCAUAAAAAUGUUUGUGGGUAAACAUUCUAGAAACCAGCUCCGGGCUCUGGGAAGGGUCUCCAGGGAGAUGGGCAGGGAGGUGUUGUCAUGGUAACUUGGCAAUCUUCUGAGGCUCUGGCAGAGAGGAGGAGAGAGGCAGGUGCACCCUGGCUUUUCAGACACAAGGUACCCCUGGGCUUGCGGCCCAGCGGACACAUCCUGCCUCCCAGUCCCACGUCACAUGCACCCACAGAGCUUUUCACUUCCCAGGUCCUUCCAGGAGGGCGGGCCUGACGGCUGUCCCCCGUCCCAAAUGGACAAAGCAAGGCCUCGACAGGGACGUGCACUGCCCAAGGUCACCAGGUGGAGGCCGGCAGCCAGUAGGAGCAGACACAGGGACAUCGCCUCUCCACACCUGACAAAGCCCUCUGUCCGCCUGGCUACUCAAACCGCUGCAGCCGCCAGGCCUCCAUUAGGGUCCUGGGGCCACUCGUCUUGGGAACGGGGAGGACCUCGUACAACCACCUUGACUCCGGCCUGCAACUUCUGAGAGGCUCCGAGGUUUCAGCAAACCACCGAGAGCCUCGCCCUCCGUCUGCCUACCUGAGCAGAACACAAUUUCUGUGUCUGGGUGGGGGGCGCCGCUGAGCUGGGGAGGCCCUGGCCAGCUCCCUGUGGCUGCCAGACUGUCCGCCGGUGCCGUAGACCCGGCUCCCGCCCGCCAGGCGGGCACAGCGUCUGGGCAGAACGCCAGGGGGAAUUUUCCACCUGCCUGGCUCUGCCGCCCGCUCUGUGGUCUGGAGCGGGGGUUGUCUCGGGCCGCCCACACGGGAAGGGCCGGCUGUCGCCUUGUUCCGCGACGGCCGACAGUGUCUGUCCCCCUUCAGAGACGAGGAGCUUUUGGCUCUGGGCCGUGCACGCCCCAGCUCACCCAGUGAGCCCCCGCCUCGAAUAGACGGGGAGAAUGAGGCAUCAGAGAGCAAUGACGUGACCGAGGUCACAGGGAGGGGUGGUGGCCGAGCCAGGCCCCAGACUCACUGCCCUUGACCACAGCUCCCAGGCUUCCCGGAGCGCACCUCUCCCGACCCUCCUCCACCCCAGGUUCACUUGGGCUGCUGGCCCCCUGCCCCCCCCCCGCCACACACACCCUGCCCUCCCUUCUUGGCACGGCUGGGUGGGUCUGCCCUUCCCAGCUCAACGUGAGAAGCAGCUCUGGGGUGUGUGUGUGUGUGCGUCCCUGCGCGUGUGACAACUGAAACCACGAUGGCCACAGAGGCCGGAAGACGGGAGAGAUUACAAGCAGAUAGCCAGGGACUCCGCACCGGGCAGGGGCGGGAGGGGGUGGAGGGUGAGACCUGCCGAGGGGCCUUGGCGGGGGCGGCACCCUCCGCUUGCCCCUCCCAUCUCUCCCCUUGUUGGGGAGCCCAGACCCCCGUGCCGGCCUCAGGCCACCCGCAGGGAUGGGGUCAGAUGGCGCCCAUGUCCCUGGGGCCCAGAGCCCGACAUCUCUCCCGCCCACGGCGAGGUGACCCAGGUACACCUGCUCCUUGGAGUAAACAGCAAAGGAAAGGCCCCGGGCUGGGGCGGCCAAGGCUGAAACUUGGGUGCCGGGAGCGCAUGAGUCACGUUCUCGAUCCGCGACUGCCAGGGAAGGGAGCGGGAGGGAGGGUGGGGGACCAGGCCCACACCCCCUCCUUUGGGACUCCUGAAAGGUCCUCAGAAAUCUCUCCUACAACCUCUUUGUUUCAUCGAGUUAGGAGGCUGCACCCUAGAGAUGGCCCAGAGAGGGCAAGUGACUUGUCUAUAGACACACAGCAUAGUAGUGGUCCCAGGACUUCUGAGCUGCGGGUUCAGAUCCCAGAGUCGGGAACAGAACUCCAGCAGGCCUGCCCUGCCCUGCCCGGGUCAGACCCGCUGCCCGCUGGGGAAAGAGACUUGCAAUUGCAGUCAUCGCAGAGAUGCCGUCAAGCCCCGGGGCUGCUCUGGGCACUGGGCUGACAUCAGCCGGGUGUCCCCCGUCCCCGGAAGCCCCGCCCAGUGGUGUAACGUCACGGGCUGGGCUGGACCAACCCUGCCGGGAGUAACUUUCCACCCGGGGAGACGGGGGCCGAGGGAUCCGGGUCUGAGCUUGCGUGGGCCCAUGACCUAGCUCCGACCCCCGAAACUUCGUAGGCACCUCUGCUGCCCACCUCCUGCUCCCCUCACCUCCCGGGGCUGCUCCCACGGGCGACUGAGUCAGCUCCCGGGCCAAGUCAGGAGUAGCGUAAAGUCGGCCUUCCCUGGCUCUGCUGGUAUUGUGGCUAGGAGCGGUGGAAUCCAGAGAAUUCAGAGUUUCGGGUCAUUCUAGCAGAUCUCAGCCUGUCACCUCGGCCGAGCCCUGGGCAGGUGUCUGGCCUCACGAAGCCUCCUGUGUAAACAGGUCCCCCGCAGGGCUGCUGGGAAGAUCAAGUGGAAUGACUUGUGUGUAACUCCGGCCCAGGGCCUGGCAUGUGGCAACAAGGGCUCAAUUUUGGGACGAUGGAAUGUCCCAGAAGGGGACUCUAGCGUUAAUUAGCCAAAGCUCGGAACAGUGUAGGGUCCCUGCCUUCCGCUUACUCAGCCACCGCCUCUGGAAGACGGCACUCGGGGUGGCAGUAGGAGGACGGAGCUUUGUGUUACCCCAAACCAAUGCGCUUCCUCUCCGCGCCUCUUCACAGUUCGUACCGGGGGCUCACCCAGACGGACAGCCGUCCCCGGCGGGUGAGGGCCUCCUGCGGGCUCCCGGCCGCCCUCUCUGCUCCUUUCUUCUUGCUGUUUGUCCGGGGCUUAUCCCCUUUCUGAUCCCAGCAUCCGCCACCUCCCACGUUUGACUGCAGGCGUCCCUGAGCCAGGGACCUCUUGCGUCUGAGCUCCCCGCAGAGGGAAGAUGAAACGUCCACAGCGCGAAAGCACGAAGGGGUGGGCUCUCUGGGAUCUGGGCCUGGGAGAGCGCCUGGCUGACCGCACAGCCCAGGAGCCCAGGACAGCCACGCUGUGUGCUGCUGUCCUGUCUUGGUCAUUCGUAGUGUCCCUGUCACCGCCAGAGUGUCUGCGUUUGAAGAAUAAAUGUUACAGUCUCCCCAAGGCUGAGAGGCCUGGACAGGAUGCCGUCUCGCCAAACAAGGAUUUCGUGUUACCCUUCCCUGUGGUCGUUUCCCAGCUGUGCUGUGGGGUAUUGAUGGAGAGCUCCAUUCCAGCGGGGGCCACGGGGGAUGGGGGGUGGGCAGCGGGAGAGAAACCUGUCGGGGAGAAAGACCACGCUGGCUGUGAGGGCAGCAGAGCCUCCCCACGAGGAAAGUUCCUCUCCGGACCCUGAGGGCCGAGAACAAAGGGCAGUAAAUGUACAAAGAUGAGUUCAGUAGAAAUUCAAUAGGAACGUGGAGGAAAUUUCCAUCAAUCAAGCUCCCAGGGUCUCAGAGUCCCUGGGGGGGAGGGGUGGGUUGUUACCCCCAGAGCGAGUGAGGGAGUGAACCCCCAGCCCCAGUGCCCAGGGUCAAGGGGCAGAGACCUGGAGACCCUCUUCCCAAACACGAACAAACGUGAACCUCAAACAUGCAGGGUGUCCCAGGGCCUCCCACACCCCCGGGGCUGCGUGCACCCCCCGGGCAGGGGCCCUGCUGCUCCACAGUCCUCACUCGGAUGGGGAGGCCUUUCCUGUCCCAGGGGCUUUCGUGAGGUGGGAGAGAGGGGGAGGGGGACUGAGGAUGAGUCAUCAUGGCAACCAUCCACCCUGGACCUCGAGGCGGAUCUCGCCGGCACCUCGCUCUGUAUCAGGACCAUCAUUCAGCCUCACAGGGUGGGCUAAGCCUCCAGAAAACAGAACUGAAAAGACAGUGGCCCUGAGGGAGCCAAUCAGGCAGACUGGCGCGGCAGUGAUGACCUCGGUCUGGGAUGAGGGCAGCUGGGGGGUCGCGGGAGCCCGGGAAGCGCCCAAAUCCAGACGCAGCAGCAGCGGGGGGCAGCGGACCUGCGACCUCAGGCCUCAGGAGGAGAAAGGUUUAGGGAGGGAGAGACAUGCCGUUGGGGCACAGAGGCUGGACCGUCCUCCCAGCAGACCCGGUCCAGCCCUGUGACGUCACACCCUGGGCUUCCGGGAUCAGGUGCCCUGGCUGACAUCAGGGAGACAGAGCGCCAGGGAAACUGAGGAGAUGCUCUAACUCGUGGUGGGGUGGUUACGGGAUUGCACUCGUGAGCCACACUUAAAAUGUUACCGUGCAGAGCGGGCAUCUCCUGUGGUUGCUUUAAAGGGGCUGGGGAAGGGAGAGGGGUGAGGUAGGUGCCUGCUGAGGUGGGCUGGGGAGAUGAGGGCUGGUGGGGUCCACAGGCGGCUGCAGCGGAGCAGGCUUUCUUUGGCAGGUCCCAGCCCUGCGGUCAGGACAGACAGCUCUCAGCCCGGUGUUCAGACCAUCCAUCUCCUGCGUAAUGCACAUCACCCAGUGUUUCAGAAGGAACACCAUACAGGCCCCUGAGGACCUUUCUCAUCUUUACCACUGACGUUCGGUCCCAGAAGCUAGAUCCCAGGUUCUGCAUCUGGAAAUAUGGAUCGUAGCCCCGUCCCUGCCAGCUAGCACAGGGGUCUUGUGAGGGUAAAGUCAGAAAACACGUAUGAAAGCAUUUCACCGCAGGGGCCACAAGUCGGUAAGUGGGGGACGGUCCUGGAGCUUUGUCCACGUCCCACCGGCUCCCUCCGUCCUGCGUGUGGCUGGUCCUGUUACGAACCCCUUGAAGACAGAGACCGAACGUGUGCUUCUGUUUGACGGUCACUGGGGCAGUUCUCAUUCCACAGCAGGUAGGAUAAGCCUUGCUGAGAGGUCUUUCAAAUAAAGGAUUUAAACCUCGAGGACUCUUUUUGUCUGCUUCUCUGGGCUGUCUGGCAUGCUACGACUGCUGCUGACGGUAAGAGUGUCGGGGGGAGAAAUACUUCCUCUACCCUCUUAGGUUCCGUGACUGGUAUCUGCAAAUUAAACUAGGAAAAGACAGAUUAACAGGAGAAAAGGCAUACAGCUUUUCUUUGAUGUCAAUAUUUUAAUUUUUAUAUGCAUGAAGGUCUUCAUAGAAAAGAAGUGAAGGGACUUCCCUGGCCGUCCAGUGGUUAAGACUCUACAAUUCCACUGCAGGGGGAGAGAGCAUGAUCCCUGGCUGGGGAACUAAGAUCCCACACGCUGCGCAGUGCAGCCAAAGCAACCAACCAACCAACAAACGAACAAAACAGGUACAAGUCGGGCGCAGGUCAGGGUGAUCUUGGCGUCCCAGGCUCAGCCGUGGUGCAGGCCUGGUACACGGACUAGUUGCCGACCUCCCAGGGCAGCCCCACAGCACAGAGCCCGGCCCCCGGAAGCUGGACGCUGACAGAUGGGAUGAUCCAGAACCAGAAAAGAUCCGAAAAGAUAGAAACUACUCUUGGGUGGACGUAAUAACCAUAUACAAAGAUAAACUACCAAAUUAUGAAGAAAAGAGUAAGAUGUUCUGUGAGGUGCAUGGGCACUUGGAUGUGGACACUCGCUACAUCUCGGAUGGCAGUGGAUACUUUGAUGUGAGAGAUGAGGGGACAAGUAGAUCCAGAUUUUCCUGGAAAAGGAGACAUGGUCGCUCUUCCUGCAGGGAUUUUUCGGCUCCAACCUGGAUGAGAACAUCGUGAAGGUUAUGCAGCUGUUUGUGUGGACGGCGCAGAGCCAGCUAGCUGACCAGUUUGAGGCCCCGGGGGCAGUACAUGGGGUGUUGGCACGGACAGCAGAGCCAGUGCCCUGGGGCCUCGCACACCCCGGUUCCCCUUGUGAAGGUCCCGAAUGUGGUAGCCGCAGGAAAUAUGUCAUCUUCUCCUUGCUUUUAUGUUGUAGGCUUGAGGCUAGGUGAGCUUUCCUUCGCAAGAUUAUUUGAUCAGAAUACGUUUUAAUGAAAGGAGCUAUAAAGCUGGUUUGUAUUUACAUGGAAGCCCCUGUGCAAAUCUGCACGAAUCCACUUGUUUUCUCUGAUUUGGUAUCAGUGGUCAGUGGCCCCGUGUCAGCUCACGCCUUCAGCUCUAACUGAGUGAGUUUUGUUUCCCCAGACACAACCGCUUCGCUGCCCCAUCUGGACCCGAUUCUUGUUUUUUUGUUUUUGUCUGUUAUUGCUUUUUGGUUGUUUUUUGGUUGUUUGUUUCUUUAUUUUUUGUUCUUGUUGUUGGCGUUUUUUUUCGCCGCACCGCUCAGCUUGUGGGAUCUCAGUUCCCCGACCAGGGAUCGAGACCCCUGCAGUGGAAGCGCAGUCCUAACCACUGGACCACCAGGGAAGUCCCUGCACCCGAUUCUUGGACUUUAAGCAGAUACCAGGCGAGGCCAGGCCUGCCUUGUGUGCAUGUGUGACAGUGGACAACAGGACUGGCCAGAGAGAAGACGCUUUUCUCCCAAAAUGUGGGGGAGGCUGGCUGGGGGACACUGUGGUGGACAAGCUGGCAUAUUAGGGAGACGCUUACAGUUGCUCGUGCCUCUUUCUUGUUCAAAAUAAAGUAGCUGCCUUAAUUUUAAAAAGAAGUGAAGAUGCAAAGAAGUGGUUAGCUUGGGGGCUUGUACACCAUUUUAACAAAUUGUGGGGAAGAGAGAAGACAGAAGAAAGAGGUAAAUUGCGGGGCAGUAAAUCUCGGGGAUCUAACAGAAGAUGAGUGUCAUCUAGUUUGUGCAGACGCAUCUUGACACCAUCUCCAUCUCCAGCGACUAAAAGUGUUCUUCCUUUCCUGGGACCAAGGUGGCCACCUUCACAGGGGAAUUUACGCCCCGAUUUCAGGCAGGGGACAGGCAGAGAGCUUUCCUGUGUCUGCUUUUUUUCAAUUGCCUUCAGCUCAAAGUAAUCUUUAUGCCAAAGUGGCACAUUUUGGGGUGGCGUGUUCCGAUCCCCCUCGAUGUCUAACACUCAUAGACAUCUCUAGGUCUCAUUCCUAACUUUCUAUGUGGCAGGCACUGUUCUAAAUGUUCUCUAUGCAUUAAUGCAUUUAGUCCUCAAAACCCUUCUGUGGUAGGUACCAUUAUAAUCUCCCCAUUUUACAUAUUGUGGAAGUAGGGAUCAGAGAGAUUACGAACCUACCCAAAAUUCUACUGCACACUUCUUCUCUUUUUUCUCCCCCCUUAUUUUUUUUGGCCACAUCGGGUCUUAGUUGCAGCACAUGGGAUCUUCAUUGCGGCACACAGGAUCUUCAUUGCAGAGCUCGGGCUUCUCUCUAAUUGUGGUGUGCGGGUUUCCUCUUCUCUAGCUGCGGCGCGCAGGCUCCAGGAUGUGCGGGCCCUGUAGUUUGUGGCGGGUGGGCUCCCUCGUUGAGGCGCGCGAGCUCAGUAGCUGUGGCUCACGGACUUAGUUGUUCCUCAUCAUGCGGGAAUCUUAGUUCCCUGACCAGGGAUGGAACCCUUGUCCUCUGCAUUGGAAGGCAGAUUCUUUACCACUGGACCACCAGGGAAAACCCUAUUUACUUAGUUAUUCAUUUGUUUGUUUAUUUGGCUGUGCCGGGUCUUAGUUGCGGCAUGCGGGAUCUUAGUUGCAGCAUUGAACCCGGGCCCCCUGCACUGGGAGUGCAGAGCCUUAACCACUGGACCACCAGCAAAUUCCCUCUAUUGCAAACUUCUAAAGAACGAAGCCCAGAUUCAAACACAGGCAGCCCAGCCUAAGGGCCUGCUCUCCUAAGUACUGGUCUGAAUGUCAGCUGUUAUCGAACGCUUUGGUCUCAGGACCCUUUACAACCCCUAAAAAUUAUGGAAGACUCCGAAGAGCUUUUGUUUAUGUGGUUACAGCUAUCGCUACUUAUCAAAUUAGAAAUUAGAGCUAAGGAAUUUUUUUAAAUAUCCAUUUUUAAAUGACAAUAAUAAACCCACUCUAUGUUACAGAAAUAACAUUUUUUUUAAAGACCUAAAUUUUCCCAAACAAAUAAAACAAUGAGUGAGAAUAACGGC
Orcinus orca (killer whale) is the source of this 16250-nucleotide long non-coding RNA. RefSeq lists it as uncharacterized. The transcript is spliced from 3 exons. Lineage: Eukaryota; Metazoa; Chordata; Mammalia; Artiodactyla; Delphinidae. The record is from RefSeq and is a predicted model, not a curated record.